Molecule: non-coding RNA, 78 nt
Organism: Cronartium quercuum f. sp. fusiforme G11
Lineage: Eukaryota; Fungi; Basidiomycota; Pucciniomycetes; Pucciniales; Coleosporiaceae
Source: the annotation of a GenBank genome assembly
GGGGUUCUAGCUCAUCGGUAGAGCGCUCGCUUAGCAUGCAACUGCGAGAGGCGCUGGGUUCGAUUCCCAGGUACUCCA